UACGUAGGGGGCAAGCGUUAUCCGGAUUUACUGGGUGUAAAGGGAGCGUAGACGGAACGGCAAGUCUGAAGUGAAAGCCCGGGGCUCAACCCCGGGACUGCUUUGGAAACUGUUGAUCUGGAGUGCUGGAGAGGCAAGUGGAAUUCCUAGUGUAGCGGUGAAAUGCGUAGAUAUUAGGAGGAACACCAGUGGCGAAGGCGGCUUGCUGGACAGUAACUGACGUUGAGGCUCGAAAGCGUGGGGAGCAAAC
Molecule: ribosomal RNA, 250 nt
Filed under: uncultured Lachnospiraceae bacterium
Lineage: Bacteria; Bacillati; Bacillota; Clostridia; Lachnospirales; Lachnospiraceae
Description: partial 16S ribosomal RNA
Rfam family: Bacterial small subunit ribosomal RNA
Source: RNAcentral